CAGCAGCCGCGGGAAUACAGAGGGUGCGAGCGUUAAUCGGAUUUACUGGGCGUAAAGCGUGCGUAGGCGGCUUUUUAAGUCGGAUGUGAAAUCCCUGAGCUUAACUUAGGAAUUGCAUUCGAUACUGGGAAGCUAGAGUAUGGGAGAGGAUGGUAGAAUUCCAGGUGUAGCGGUGAAAUGCGUAGAGAUCUGGAGGAAUACCGAUGGCGAAGGCAGCCAUCUGGCCUAAUACUGACGCUGAGGUACGAAAGCAUGGGGAGCAAACAGGAUUAGAGACCCCCGUAGUCCCUGUCUCUUAUAA
This 301-nucleotide ribosomal RNA is filed under the name uncultured bacterium. RNAcentral's name for it is "partial 16S ribosomal RNA". It matches the Rfam family "Bacterial small subunit ribosomal RNA", at positions 509 to 809 of the family's 1533-position model. The record is from RNAcentral.